Molecule: long non-coding RNA, 2614 nt
Filed under: Homo sapiens (human)
Lineage: Eukaryota; Metazoa; Chordata; Mammalia; Primates; Hominidae
Description: HSALNT0272453
Source: RNAcentral
CCUACAUACAGACUACUAAGUUAACCAUAACCAUUCGUGUAUUGAUACGUAUGUUCAAACAGCAAUGAUGAACUGAGUGCCUGCUCUGAAGGAACUCAAAUUCAGAUUCAGCUAAUAUUUCUGGAGUAACACCCAUGCACUAGGUAUUGAGCUAAAGACUUUGUCUUAUUUAGGUGCCUAUCAUGUGCUAGGUGUUGAACUAGUUACUUUAACACAUUAUCUCAUUUGGUCUUCAUAACAACCUAGUAGGUCGGCAUUUUUUAUUUUAUAGAUAGGAGACUAACACUCAGAAAAGGUGAGUGACUUGCCUGAAGUCAUAAAAUUAGUCAAGACUUAAAACUGGCUUUUUGGUCCUGAGUCUUCUCUCUGGCUCUUUCUAAUUGGUAGUAUUGUCUGUCUUAGGUCCACGCUUUUACUAUCCUCUUCUAUGCAAAAGAAUAUCUGAUCAGAAAGAAACAAAGCCACUUAUAGUUUGAUUAGAAAGAAAUAAAACCGCACAGAAUUUUAGCCACCUUUGUCUAUGGGCUGAUAGCUUUGUGCACACAAGGCCAAGCAACCACAGGCUCCAGAGAUGUGAUGUGGAGAUGUGCCAAGUGGCAGGUGACAUCACAUCUUUACAUUCCUAGAAGUACUGUGCCCUAAUAAUUUUACAGCAGAGACAUAAACAGAUGGAUGUGACAAAUCCAGUAAUGGCAGUUACAUAAUCUCAAGAUCUUUCUCAAUGACUCUAAGAACAUGUCCAAGACCAAGAAUGACUUACCAGGUACAUGCCAGUGCUUUAACUAAACAGAAACUAUUUUUCAACUAAACAAACAUAAAUUACAUUAUCCCUCCUUUUUGGCUCUACCAUUUUGAAAUUUCUAACUUUGUGAGGUUUUUAACUUAAAAAUGUUUUUCCAAAUUUAUGGAAAGAGGCCACAUAUGCCCACGUUUAGGGAAAAGUAUGGACUUCAGAGUUACAAGCUCAGGUUUGGACAAGGCCAGGCAAGGUUGGACUGAAUCCUGCCUCUAUCGUUUUCUCACUACAUUUGCAGUGAGUCACUAAAUUUUUUUAAGUCUCUGCUUCCUCAUCUGUAAAAUGGGUAUAGCAACGAUAUCUACCUGUGCAGAAAAGAGUUAACUCAGCAGGGCUGAAUUGUUCAAACCUUGCACAUUCCCAAGAAAGGCCUGUUUUCAUGACUGCUCUUUGACCAGCUUCUGGGAAUUAAACUGUUAGAAUGUUCCAAGAACUAAGAGUAUUUUUCUCACAUGGGUUCUUGAGCCAUACUAUACCAGUUUGUCUGCAUACGUGUGCAACGUGGUUUAUGCUUGCUUCUGGGAGCCUGGAGCUUCAAUGGCACAAGUCAUGUGCCUAUGUGAAUGAUCCCCAACAAAAACCCUAGACUCGCUCAAUCAUGGCAGAUGGGAGGUAGGACUAGAUUGCAACUCCAGACAGAGCAGUGUGCAAGGUCUUGCAUUGUGAAUUUUAGCUCCAGAUCAACUGCAAGAACAAACCAGCAAUCCUGAGAGGACCCACAGACCCUCUGAAGGAAGCAGACAGCUCCUACAGGACCUGGGAGACCCCCCAAAACUGUGAGUGCCCCAACCUUGGAAGCAGAAAAUGGAGACCCUCCUUUCCUGAACUCACACUCCCACUGGAGAAGCUGAAGAGGUUUUCCUGAAACCAAGCACCAUACAAGCACAAAACGUAUUUUGUAAAUGUUCAAUGAACAUAUACAAGAAAGAUUCUUCGUUGAAAGGAUUUAUGGGGACCUCAGGUGUACUGUGGAGAAUUCUGAAUGGCUGGACUCCCAUGGAUGCUGGAAGGAGAAGCAGCAGCUGCCCUCACCACCCCAGACCUGAGUGUGGAAACCUCAGGCUCACAUCCCCCUCCCCCAGCUCUCCAUAUAGAAAAAAAGUAACCAAAUUUAGGUCACUAUGUCCCCAAAAAUGAUACUGUUCAUCCUUUUCCCCAAUAUUUGUCUUUAAUUAGUGAAUAAAUGAACUAUCUGAGCUUCAUCGUUGGAAACAAGAUAUACUGAGUGUGAUGGUUAAUAUGGCGUGUCAACUUGAUUGGACCUUAUUAUUGUCUUUAUUUGAAGAUAAUGCAUGAUCUCAGCACAUGUGUAUAGGCUCAAGUUGACAAGGGGUGGACUUGCGAUGGUUAAUACUGAGUGUCAACUUGUUUGGAUUGAAGGAUACAAAGGAUUGAUCCUGGAUGUAUCUCUGAGAGUGUUGCUAAAGGAGAUUAAAAUUUGAGUCACUGGGCUGGGAAAGGUAGACCCACCCUUAAUCUGGGUGGGCACAAUCUACUCAGCUCCCAGCGUGCCUAGAAAAGAAGCAGGCAGAAAAAUAAAAGGAGAGACUGGCCUAGCCUCCCAGCCUACAUCUUUCUCCCCUGCUGGAUGCUUCCUGUCCUGGAACACUGGACUCCACGUUCUUCAGUUUUGGAACUCAGACUUGGCUCUCCUUGCCCCUCAGCCUACAGACAGCCUAUGAAGGGACCUUGUGAUUGUUGUGUAAAUGGAACCUCCAAAUAAGAUUAAAUUGAAGAGAAAGCAUUAAAGGGCAGUAUUCCAGUGGAAUCCAUGAACAGUUUGGGCUGCCACACUCAUCUAGGGGCUGCAUCUACUAA